Molecule: ribosomal RNA, 477 nt
Filed under: uncultured Lachnospiraceae bacterium
Lineage: Bacteria; Bacillati; Bacillota; Clostridia; Lachnospirales; Lachnospiraceae
Description: partial 16S ribosomal RNA
Source: RNAcentral
CACGUAUUUAGCCGGAGCUUCUUAGUCAGGUACCGUCACUUUCUUCCCUGCUGAUAGGGCUUUACAUACCGAAAUACUUCUUCACCCACGCGGCGUUGCUGCAUCAGGGUUCCCCCCAUUGUGCAAUAUUCCCCACUGCUGCCCCCCGUAGGAGUCUGGGCCGUGUCUCAGUCCCAAUGUGGCCGUCCACUCUCUCAAGCCGGCUACUGAUCGCUGCCUUGGUGGGCCGUUACCCGCAACUAGCUAAUCAGACGCGGGCCCAUCCUGUACCACCGGAGUUUUCCCCGCAGCGCCAUGCGGCACCGCGGGCUUAUGCGGUAUUAGCAGCCGUUUCCGGCUGUUCGUCCCCCUGUACAGGGCACGGUUACCCACGCCGUUACUCACCCGUCCGCCACUAGGCUGUAUGCUCGCUUCCGCCCGAAACGCUCCGCUCGCACUACCACCCCGUUCGACUUGCAUGUGUUAGGCACGCCGCCA